AGCGGCAACAGCUCAAAUUUGAAAUCUGGCCCCCAGGGCCCGAGUUGUAAUUUGCAGAGGAUGCUUUUGGCGCGGUGCCUUCCGAGUUCCCUGGAACGGGACGCCAUAGAGGGUGAGAGCCCCGUCUGGUCGGACGCCUAGCCUGUGUAAAGCUCCUUCGACGAGUCGAGUAGUUUGGGAAUGCUGCUCUAAAUGGGAGGUAUAUGUCUUCUAAAGCUAAAUACCGGCCAGAGACCGAUAGCGCACAAGUAGAGUGAUCGAAAGAUGAAAAGCACUUUGAAAAGAGGGUUAAAUAGUACGUGAAAUUGUUGAAAGGGAAGCGCUUGUGACCAGACUUGGGCCCGGUGGAUCAUCCAGCGUUCUCGCUGGUGCACUCCGCCGGGUUCAGGCCAGCAUCAGUUCGCCGCGGGGGAAAAAGGCUUCGGGAACGUGGCUCCUACGGGAGUGUUAUAGCCCGUUGCAUAAUACCCUGGGGCGGACUGAGGUUCGCGCUCCGCAAGGAUGCUGGCGUAAUGGUCAUCAGCGACCCGUC
RNAcentral lists this ribosomal RNA (532 nucleotides) under Purpureocillium lilacinum. Its description in RNAcentral is "eukaryotic LSU rRNA". It matches the Rfam family "Eukaryotic large subunit ribosomal RNA", at positions 97 to 653 of the family's 3401-position model. The record is from RNAcentral. Lineage: Eukaryota; Fungi; Ascomycota; Sordariomycetes; Hypocreales; Ophiocordycipitaceae.